AAAAAACUUGUAUAGAGCACUAUACGCUCACACGCACUACUACUCUGUUUUGUAUCACUCAUCUCAUCCGCCAUUGAUUUCUUGGAGGAUCAGAUCAGAUGGGUGCAGGUGCAGUCCUCGGGUUCCUGGACUUCUUGACCAGGAACAGCUUCUUGAGGAGCCUGAGCAUCAGCCUCAGGCUCAACUUCCGGCGACGGACCACCCUGCUGUCACCCGUUGGAUGUGGGCGGCGGGGAUGCUUGCCGUUGCCGUGCUUCUCCAGGUCGACGACGAUCAUGUCGCCGUCGUAACCGAGCCAGCCGGCCGCCUCCUUCAUCGCCAGCGCUGAUCCCUUGUUGAUCACAGGGCUCAGCGGGCACAGCGGCGGCACGCUCGCGAGCUCCUCGUUGAAGUCCUCCCACAGCAUGUCCAUCUUCUCCUCCUCCUCCUCUUCCUCGUCCCCGGCAGCGGCGAGGAACCAUGGCAAAGGCGAGCCGCCGCCGAGCUGGUGUCGGAAUGCUGAUGAUGGAAGAAGCUGCC
This 519-nucleotide long non-coding RNA is filed under the name Sorghum bicolor (sorghum). RNAcentral's name for it is "long non-coding RNA (SBIC_LNC015092)". Lineage: Eukaryota; Viridiplantae; Streptophyta; Magnoliopsida; Poales; Poaceae. The record is from RNAcentral.